Molecule: ribosomal RNA, 342 nt
Filed under: Triticum aestivum (bread wheat)
Lineage: Eukaryota; Viridiplantae; Streptophyta; Magnoliopsida; Poales; Poaceae
Description: partial small subunit ribosomal RNA
Source: RNAcentral
AUGUGCGUCAUCGACACAUUCAGCAUGGGGCGAAAACCUGACGACACUCUCACAAAAGACUAUCCUAACAAAAGGAAAGGAGAAUAUCCAACACUCCAACAAGGAGACAGAACAGAGCCAAAGUACCGCACCCACGCAAGGGGCAAACAGCAGCACAAAAGAAAACAACCAGCAGAGGCCUACAGGGACACCCAGAGAAUGUUCAGCGCCUUAUCAGUUCCUCGUUCCAUCAUCCUGAGCAGCAGCACAAAUGCGCAUCGGGUUCUUCGCAUUAUCCUUGAGCAUCGUUGCCCUUCAUCGCAUUGCCUCUUGAUCCUCACUCUUCAGCAGACCUGCCAAUAA